UUACGCCGAUACGGAUGAUGUAG
RNAcentral lists this small nuclear RNA (23 nucleotides) under Arabidopsis thaliana (thale cress). Its description in RNAcentral is "snRNA_17113". Lineage: Eukaryota; Viridiplantae; Streptophyta; Magnoliopsida; Brassicales; Brassicaceae. The record is from RNAcentral.